GAUGAACGCUGGCGGCGUGCCUAAUACAUGCAAGUCGAGCGAACCACUUCGGUGGUGAGCCGCGAACGGGUGAGUAACACGUAGGUGAUCUGCCCAUCAGACGGGGACAACGAUUGGAAACGAUCGCUAAUACCGGCUCGGACGAAAGUUUAAAGGUGCUUCUGGCACCGCUGAUGGAUGAGCCUGCGGCGCAUUAGCUAGUUGGUAGGGUAAAGGCCUACCAAGGCGACGAUGCGUAGCCGACCUGAGAAGGUGAACGGCCACACUGGGACUGAGACACGGCCCAGACUCCUACGGGAGGCAGCAGUAGGGAAUCUUCGGCAAUGGGCGAAAGCCUGACCGAGCAACGCCGCGUGAAUGAUGAAGGCCUUCGGGUUGUAAAAUUCUGUUAUAAGGGAAGAACGACUUUAGUAGGAAAUGGCUAGAGUGUGACGGUACCUUAUGAGAAAGCCACGGCUAACUACGUGCCAGCAGCCGCGGUAA
Molecule: ribosomal RNA, 483 nt
Filed under: uncultured bacterium
Lineage: Bacteria
Description: partial 16S ribosomal RNA
Rfam family: Bacterial small subunit ribosomal RNA
Source: RNAcentral